GAAAUGCGAUAAGUAGUGUGAAUUGCAGAAUUCAGUGAAUCAUCGAAUCUUUGAACGCACAUUGCGCCCCUUGGUAUUCCAUGGGGCAUGCCUGUUCGAGCGUCAUUUGUACCCUCAAGCUCUGCUUGGUGUUGGGUGUUUGUCCCGUCUCCGCGCGUGGACUCGCCCCAAAGUGAUUGGCAGCCGGCGUACUGGUCCCGGAGCGCAGCACAUGUCGCGCAAACGAGUGCCUUGGUACGGCGGCGUCCAUAAGCCCCUCUCUCACGCUCUUGACCUCGGAUCAGGUAGGGAUAUCCGCUGAACUUAAGC
This 309-nucleotide unclassified non-coding RNA is filed under the name plant metagenome. RNAcentral's name for it is "partial contains 5.8S ribosomal RNA, internal transcribed spacer 2, and large subunit ribosomal RNA". The stretch from base 1 to 105 matches the Rfam family "5.8S ribosomal RNA", at positions 50 to 154 of the family's 154-position model. The record is from RNAcentral.